RNAcentral lists this ribosomal RNA (440 nucleotides) under uncultured bacterium. Its description in RNAcentral is "partial 16S ribosomal RNA". It matches the Rfam family "Bacterial small subunit ribosomal RNA", at positions 338 to 795 of the family's 1533-position model. The record is from RNAcentral.
CCUACGGGUGGCAGCAGUGGGGAAUAUUGCACAAUGGGGGAAACCCUGAUGCAGCGACGCCGCGUGAGCGAUGAAGUAUUUCGGUAUGUAAAGUUCUAUCAGCAGGGAAGAAAAUGACGGUAUCUGACUAAGAAGCCCCGGCUAACUAUGUGCCAGCAGCCGCGGUAAUAUGUAGGGGGCAAGCGUUAUCCGGAUUUACUGGGUGUAAAGGGAGCGUAGACGGCGAUGCAAGCCAGAUGUGAAAGCCCGGGGCUCAACCCCGGGACUGCAUUUGAAACUGUAUAGCUGGAGUGUCGGAGAGGCAGGCGGAAUUCCUAGUGUAGCGGUGAAAUGCGUAGAUAUUAGGAAGAACACCAGUGGCGAAGGCGGACUGCUGGACGAUGACUGACGUUGAGGCUCGAAAGCGUGGGGAGCAAACAGGAUUAGAUACCCCAGUAGUC